CACAAAAGCAAAGCAGCAAGCGUGUUGUGAAAGAAGUAAACCCACGCACCCAUAGGGCAGCCCUGCGAGGGAACUUGGGAAGUUUGCACAGUCUGCAUUGCAAAAUGGGCAUUUAAAGGAAGCUGGAGUUUUAACAAACACAACUGAGCGGUGGUAAGAGACUUACAUGGCAGGAAUAUGUACUAGAAGGCAAACAGACUUGUCUUUUAUUCCUUAAUGCCAUCUCUCAGUUUAUAUAUGUGUGGAUAGGUUGCAUUACUUAUUUCCGUUAGGAAUAAAGCCCUUAGGAAUUAAAACAUGUAAAAAACAGCUGAAAAUUCUAGCAUUCUAGAANUGAGGGGUGCAACUGCCAAGGGCCCAGGAGGCAAAAUGGGGAGAGGCUCUUGGGUUGUUUGAUACUGCCCACAGGGUGGAGAGACAAGCAGGAUGUCUCUAAAGGCCAUUUGCAGGUGAAGGUUUUGCCUUCAUCAUCUGCUUGAGAAUGCACAGAAGCCAUUGGUGGGGCACUGUGUGAGACGCGAUGCAGGAUUAGAUGAGCUGUGGCCUGAUCCAGCAGGGCUCCUCUUAUGUUCUUAUGACAUUUGGGGGGUGGUUGUGGUGGCUGUGUUAUGUCUUCGGUCUCAGUUUACAUGGGGAUAAGGAGCCAGCUUGCUUUUCUUUGCCCAGGGCAGCGGGCAUCUGGGCAUGGCAGGCUUUGGCCUUUGAGGUUUUUCCAAUCUCUCGCCUUCCAACGGGAUAUGCACUUAAGAGCUCAGAAAGGUUCAUUCUGUAGGAGAAUCCGAGACAUACAGACACACACCAAUGAGGAGACGCUUGGAAAGCCUGCAAUGCACCACAGUGGUGCUUACUCCCGAGUAACUACAGUCUCCUGUGCAGUGUGCAUGCCUUUCCAGUUCGGUUUNCCCCUUUCCCUACGGGCGACACGAGAGAGAACACGCUGCCUUGCGCAUGCGCAACAGCAGAGUCCGCCGGGCCGUCCGCAUGCGCACACCACGUCUUACUGCCUAAGUCGCGGGAUCUCUGUGACGCCCUUUCCCUCNUCCUCCUGCCCCCUCCCCCCACUCCGCGGGCAUUUCCGCUUCCUGAGGCCGGGAGGUGCGAGCGCGGAAGGUUGCGCUUCCGGUUCGAGGGAUCUCUCUUGGGGGAGAAGAAAGACUGCGUCUGCGCUCGCGUCGCUCGUCGCCGCCGCGGCCUCGGUGGGCGGGAAGAGGAGGAGGAGGAGGAGGAGGGCGGUUUGGACGCCGCCCUGGGCGCUUCCGGGCUCAGGCCAUCAGGGAACGUUGGAACAGUUUCAAAGCAGUGUAUGA
Molecule: long non-coding RNA, 1307 nt
Filed under: Salvator merianae (Argentine black and white tegu)
Lineage: Eukaryota; Metazoa; Chordata; Lepidosauria; Squamata; Teiidae
Description: lncRNA (ENSSMRG00000016367.1)
Source: RNAcentral